Molecule: ribosomal RNA, 429 nt
Filed under: Bacteroidota bacterium
Lineage: Bacteria; Pseudomonadati; Bacteroidota
Description: Bacteroidetes bacterium partial 16S ribosomal RNA
Rfam family: Bacterial small subunit ribosomal RNA
Source: RNAcentral
UAGGGAAUCUUCGGCAAUGGGGGGAACCCUGACCGAGCAACGCCGCGUGAGUGAAGAAGGUUUUCGGAUCGUAAAGCUCUGUUGUUAAGGAAGAACGAGUGUGAGAAUGGAAAGUUCAUACUGUGACGGUACUUAACCAGAAAGGGACGGCUAACUACGUGCCAGCAGCCGCGGUAAUACGUAGGUCCCGAGCGUUGUCCGGAUUUAUUGGGCGUAAAGCGAGCGCAGGCGGUUAGAUAAGUCUGAAGUUAAAGGCAGUGGCUCAACCAUUGUAGGCUUUGGAAACUGGUUAACUUGUGUGCAGAAGGGGAGAGUGGAAUUCCAUGUGUAGCGGUGAAAUGCGUAGAUAUAUGGAGGAACACCGGUGGCGAAAGCGGCUCUCUGGUCUGUAACUGACGCUGAGGCUCGAAAGCGUGGGUAGCAAACAGG